Treponema denticola ATCC 35405 is the source of this 119-nucleotide regulatory RNA element. It matches the Rfam family "TD-1 RNA". Rfam says of the family: non coding RNA found in Treponema denticola Lineage: Bacteria; Pseudomonadati; Spirochaetota; Spirochaetia; Treponematales; Treponemataceae. The record is from Rfam.
GUUUAUCUGCCGAGUUUGCCUUUCGGCAAACGUCGCAUUAUUGUAUGCAGUUUGUAAACAAACUGCGUGAAAAAACUUUUUUCGCAAAUUGAUAUUUGCUGCAAAAAGUUUUUAUGGGA